RNAcentral lists this unclassified non-coding RNA (329 nucleotides) under soil metagenome. RNAcentral's name for it is "partial contains 5.8S ribosomal RNA, internal transcribed spacer 2, and large subunit ribosomal RNA". The stretch from base 1 to 120 matches the Rfam family "5.8S ribosomal RNA", at positions 35 to 154 of the family's 154-position model. The record is from RNAcentral.
GAUGAAGAACACAGCGAAAUGCGAUAAGUAGUGUGAAUUGCAGAAUUCAGUGAAUCAUCGAAUCUUUGAACGCACAUUGCGCCCCUUGGUAUCCCGAGGGGCAUGCCUGUUCGAGCGUCAUUUCACCACUCAAGCCUGGCUUGGUGUUGGGCGACGUCCCCUUUGGGGACGCGCCUCGAAACGCUCGGCGGCGUGGCACCGGCUUUAAGCGUAGCAGAAUCUUUCGCUUUGGAAGUCGGGGCCCCGUCUGCCGGAAGACCUACUCGCAAGGUUGACCUCGGAUCAGGCAGGGAUACCCGCUGAACUUAAGCAUAUCAAUAAGCGGAGGA